GGGCGUAGCUCAGUGGUAGAGCGCCUGCCUUCCAAGCAGGCUGUCGUGGGUUCGAUUCCCAUCGCCC
RNAcentral lists this transfer RNA (67 nucleotides) under marine eukaryotic metagenome. It matches the Rfam family "tRNA". Rfam says of the family: Transfer RNA (tRNA) molecules are approximately 80 nucleotides in length. Their secondary structure includes four short double-helical elements and three loops (D, anti-codon, and T loops). The record is from RNAcentral.